RNAcentral lists this ribosomal RNA (493 nucleotides) under uncultured bacterium. RNAcentral describes it as "partial 16S ribosomal RNA". It matches the Rfam family "Bacterial small subunit ribosomal RNA", at positions 28 to 507 of the family's 1533-position model. The record is from RNAcentral.
GACGAACGCUGGCGGCGUGCUUAACACAUGCAAGUCGAACGGUGAAGCGCCUUCCUUUUUGGUGGGUGUGGAUGAGUGGCGAACGGGUGAGUAACACGUGAGUAACCUGCCCCCUUCUUCUGGAUAACCGCAUGAAAGUGUGGCUAAUACGGGAUAUUCUGGGUCUGUCGCAUGAUGGGUCUGGGAAAGAUAUUGUUUCGGUGGGGGAUGGGCUCGCGGCCUAUCAGCUUGUUGGUGGGGUGAUGGCCUACCAAGGCGGUGACGGGUAGCCGGCCUGAGAGGGUGGAGGGUAACACUGGGACUGGGACACGGCCCAGACUCCUACGGAGGCAGCAGUGGGGAAUAUUGCACAAUGGGCGCAAGCCUGAUGCAGCGACGCCGCGUGAGGGAUGGAGGCCUUCGGGUUGUGAACCUCUUUCGCCAGUGAAGCAGGCCUGCCUCGUUUGUGGGUGGGUUGACGGUAGCUGGAUAAGAAGCGCCGGCUAACUACGUG